AAACAGCCCCCUAUGUAUUGGAUCUUUGACAGUUUUGGCCCCCAAUGUCAAUUUUGACUUGGUCUUCGCUGAUGUGGCAAUUUAAAAUAAAUAAAUAUUUUUUUAAAAAUAUAUUUUUUUUUAAAUUUAAAAAUAAAAAAUAUACUUUUAUUAAAAAAUAUACUUUUUUAAAUAAUUAAAAAAAAAAAAAAAUACACGCGGCAUCCACGUGUGCGUUGACCGAGUCAAAAUUGGCCUUGGGGGCCAAAACUGUCAAAGGUCCAAUACAUAGGGGGCUGUUU
This is a microRNA precursor of Medicago truncatula (barrel medic), 281 nucleotides long. It matches the Rfam family "MIR2619 microRNA precursor family". The record is from Rfam. Lineage: Eukaryota; Viridiplantae; Streptophyta; Magnoliopsida; Fabales; Fabaceae.